Long non-coding RNA from Homo sapiens (human), 1329 nucleotides. The record is from Ensembl. NCBI's taxonomy places the organism in Eukaryota, Metazoa, Chordata, Mammalia, Primates, Hominidae.
UGUACUAAAGGGAGCACAUUGUUGAGAAGGACCGGUUGCAAAUUUCCAAAAAGGAGAGUAAAAUAAUUAAUGAGUCAAGGUCUCAGGAGAGACAGAAGGAUGACUUACAACUUAAGUGUCUCCCUUUGUGGGAGGAAUCCCAGCUAUAGCCUAGUGGACCAUUCACCCAGGGAUCUUCAAUCAUUCGUUCAACCCUAACAUUUAUAUGCGCACCAGCUACAUGCUAGGCAGUGCGUCAGGCAUUAAAGAUACAAGGACGAAUACAGCAGACACGACCUCAGUCUUUGGACAGAGUUUACCUUCUAUUGAGGAAGAUAGAUGAUAAACAAGUAAUAAAUACAUAAACAAAGUAAUUUCAGCUAGCUAUAAAUGCUAUGAAAAAAUAAUAGUGUUAUAUAAUAAAGAGCGACUGGGAAAUCUAUUUCACAUGGAGUGUUAAGUGAAGGACUUUUUGAAGAAGCGACAUUUGAGCUGUUACCUGUAUGAUACGAGACCAACAAUGUAACAGGCUGAGGGGAGAGCAUUCCAGGCAAAGGGAAAAGCAAAAACACAGCCUUGGAGUGGAAUGGAGUUUUAUUCUGUUUGCCGACCAGUAAGAAGGUCACGUGGCUGGAGCUGAGUAAGCAAGGGGAAUAAUGGUGGGAGAAAUUACGUGGAGGAGGUAGUCAGGGGCUAGAUCAUGUAUAUAUUGCCAUGCAGGCCAUGGUAAGGACUUUGGAUUUUAUUCUGAGUACCAUGGGAAGCCACUGAAAAACCUUGCCUAAGAUAAUGGGUUUCUGUUUUGCCUAAGGCAAAUUAACUUUUUACUGAAGUAUACUAUACAUUACGGAAAAAGUACACAAAUCGUAAGCUUGAUGAAUUUUCAUGAUGUAAUCGCAUCCAUAUCACUAGCACCCAGGUCAAUAAACAGAUCAUUACCAGAACCCCAGAACCCUCCCUUAUGCCCCUUUCCAGUAACGCCCAUCCCCCAACCCACGGGUAACUACCAUCCUGACUUCUAUCACCAAAGAUUAGUUUUGCCUGUUUAUAUAAAACUUUAUAUAAUUGCAAUCACAAUAUGUAUUCAUUUUGUGUCUGGCUUCUUUCAUUUAAUAUUAUGUUUAGGAGUUUCAUCAUUGCUUAGCAAUAGUUUAUUGGUGCUAUAUGGAAGUUGAGUGCGUGAUCACACCACAGUUUAUCCAUUCUACUGUUGAUGGACAUAUGAGUAAUUUCCGGUUUGGAACUACUACAAACAGUGCUGUUAUGAACAUUCUAUUACAUGUCUUUUGGUGAACAAAUAUAUUCACUCCUGUUUGAAAUAAACUUAAGAAUGGAACUUAUGGAUCAUAA